This 467-nucleotide long non-coding RNA is filed under the name Pongo abelii (Sumatran orangutan). RNAcentral's name for it is "lincRNA". Lineage: Eukaryota; Metazoa; Chordata; Mammalia; Primates; Hominidae. The record is from RNAcentral.
GAAGUGACUUCACAAUGACUCAAGCUACCAUAUACUGUUGAUUGUGAAAUGCCAGUUGAAGCAUAUGUCCUGUGAGCUUAGGGGUGCUACAGGUUGACCACUGCAGCAGUAAAGAUGACUCUGAAGAAUGGCAUGGGAUGGAUCCUUUCGAAUGCACUUGAGCAGCGGUCUCCAACCACAGGGCCACAGAGCUGGAGGUGAGCAGCAGCUGGAUCUACCAUGAACGACUUCUGAAUCCAGGAAGAGAGACUGACUGGGCAACAUGUUAUUCAGGAGAUGGGGUCUCACCCUGUCACCCAGGCUUGAGUACAGUAGUGCUAUCACAGCUCGCUGCAGCCUUGAACUCCUGGGCUAAGGAUCCUCCUACCUGAGCCUCCUGAGUAGCUGGGACUGUAGGUCUCCCUCUGUUGUCCAAGGCUGGAGUGUAGUAGUGCUAUCACAGCUGACUGCAGCCUCAACCUUCCAGG